UCCCUGCUCAGGAUCACACCUGGAGAGUUUCCAGUACUCUACCAGUCUCGACUAUGGGAGGGAGAGUCAAGCAGAGACCUACCCAUUCCAUUCCUCGCUUGGCCAGUGGCUAGCGAGUGGAAGACAAUCUGCCACAAGU
Molecule: non-coding RNA, 139 nt
Organism: Ornithorhynchus anatinus (platypus)
Lineage: Eukaryota; Metazoa; Chordata; Mammalia; Monotremata; Ornithorhynchidae
Source: Rfam